UGGGGAAUAUUGCACAAUGGGGGAAACCCUGAUGCAGCAACGCCGCGUGAAGGAAGACGGUUUUCGGAUUGUAAACUUCUAUCAAUAGGGACGAAGAAAGUGACGGUACCUAAAUAAGAAGCCCCGGCUAACUACGUGCCAGCAGCCGCGGUAAUACGUAGGGGGCAAGCGUUAUCCGGAAUUACUGGGUGUAAAGGGUGAGUAGGCGGCAUGACAAGUAAGAUGUGAAAGCCCGUGGCUUAACCACGGGAUUGCAUUUUAAACUGUUGAGCUAGAGUACAGGAGAGGAAAGUGGAAUUCCCAGUGUAGCGGUGAAAUGCGUAGAUAUUGGGAAGAACACCAGUGGCGAAGGCGGCUUUCUGGACUGAAACUGACGCUGAGGCACGAAAGCGUGGGGAGCAAACA
Molecule: ribosomal RNA, 405 nt
Filed under: uncultured bacterium
Lineage: Bacteria
Description: bacterial SSU rRNA
Rfam family: Bacterial small subunit ribosomal RNA
Source: RNAcentral